RNAcentral lists this ribosomal RNA (378 nucleotides) under uncultured bacterium. Its description in RNAcentral is "bacterial SSU rRNA". It matches the Rfam family "Bacterial small subunit ribosomal RNA", at positions 29 to 404 of the family's 1533-position model. The record is from RNAcentral.
AAUGAACGCUAGCGGCAGGCCUAAUACAUGCAAGUCGAGGGGCAGCAGGAGUAGCAAUAUUCGCUGGCGACCGGCGCACGGGUGCGUAACACGUAUGCAACCUUCCCGCCACUGGGGGAUAGCCCGGAGAAAUCCGGAUCAAUACCCCAUAAUUCCCUGGGAGGCAUCUCCCGGGGCUGAAAACUCCGGUGGUGGCGGAUGGGCAUGCGCACGAUUAGCUAGUUGGGAGGUAACGGCUCACCAAGGCUACGAUCGUUAGGGGGCCUGAGAGGGGUUAUCCCCCACACUGGUACUGAGACACGGACCAGACUCCUACGGGAGGCAGCAGUGAGGAAUAUUGCGCAAUGGAGGCAACUCUGACGCAGCCAUGCCGCGUGC